Phacochoerus africanus (Common warthog) is the source of this 848-nucleotide long non-coding RNA. RefSeq lists it as uncharacterized. The transcript has 3 exons. The record is from RefSeq and is a predicted model, not a curated record. Lineage: Eukaryota; Metazoa; Chordata; Mammalia; Artiodactyla; Suidae.
AAAUAUACAUGAUAGCUCAUUCUCAAGGCUCUGAGCCUUUCCCAUUCAUACAGAGAUAAAAUGUUGCAGGACAGAGAAUAACGUUUGUCUUAUUGGAAGUUUAUAGGAACAUUGUGACCAGAUCUACAGGGACAGCAGAGAGAACAAAGGAUUCUGGAACCCAGGAAUUUGCACAGUCAAGCACACCCCCUCCCCUUGGAGUAUAAAACAAACCCAAAUUCUCACUCAGGCUGGCCUAGGAAACUUUCUGCUGUGAAUAAGGCUGCUGUACCUGCCAUGCCAAGUUCCAAGCAGCUGAUGUAUUAAUGAGCAUCGCUGUGGCCUGCCUGCUCUUUUGUGUCCCUCUCAGAACUGGAACAAAAGACACGCUCCAUGGGUAUCAGUGCAGUGGACCCGUCUUUCCGAUUCCUCAGCCUGGGAAGCUGGCCGCCCCCGGAGUCUGCAGGAUGAAUUGAGUGAGACUCUGCCUCCCGGAGGACCAUCCAUAGGGCCAGCUGUGCUUGCUUUUCUUGGGCUGCUGUGGGAUGGGGCCCCAUGGAUCUCCCCAGUCUAGACACAGUAAGGGGAAACCAGAGGGGGCUUGAUUCCCGCCCCCAACCCUCAGAGGUAGGUGUCGGGCUGUACAGAGAGACAUACAAGUUAGUUCCAACAGGCAUCUGCUUUCCGCCUCCGGCUCAGAGUGCCCACACCUGCUGUUACCUGUCCAGGUACCCCACCCGCUCCCCAUUGGGGGAGGCUGGGGGUGGGGAGACCAGAGAGAGAGCUGGGAGGGGAGUGAAGAAGAUGUAACACACUGAGCCAAGAGCACUCAGGGAAAUAAAGGAUCUAUUUUUUUCCAUUUGUUCUCA